AUGUAACGGAAGUUUUCGGAUGGAAGAUGCGUAUCUUAGUGGCGGACGGGUGAGUAACGCGUGGGUAACCUGCCGUAUACAGGGGGAUAACACCUGGAAACAGGUGCUAAUACCGCAUAAGCGCCCGGUAUCGCAUGAUACCGAGUGAAAAGCCGAGACGGUAUACGAUGGACCCGCGUCUGAUUAGCCAGUUGGCAGGGUAACGGCCUACCAAAGCAGCGAUCAGUAGCCGGCCUGAGAGGGUGAACGGCCACAUUGGGACUGAGACACGGCCCAAACUCCUACGGGAGGCAGCAGUGGGGAAUAUUGCACAAUGGGGGAAACCCUGAUGCAACAACGCCGCGUGAGUGAAGAAGUAUUUCGGUAUGUAAAGCUCUAUCAGCAGGGAAGAAGAUGACGGUACCUGAUUAAGAAGCCCCGGCUAACUACGUGCCAGCAGCCGCGGUAAUACGUAGGGGGCAAGCGUUAUCCGGAUUUACUGGGUGUAAAGGGAGCGCAGACGGCAGUGCAAGUCUGGAGUGAAAGCCCGGGGCCCAACCCCGGAACUGCUCUGGAAACUGUGCGGCUAGAGUACUGGAGGGGCAGGCGGAAUUCCUAGUGUAGCGGUGAAAUGCGUAGAUAUUAGGAGGAACACCAGUGGCGAAGGCGGCCUGCUGGGCUUUUACUGACGCUGAGGCUCGAAAGUGUGGGGAGCAAACAGGAUUAGAUACCCUGGUAGUCCACACCGUAAACGAUGAUUACUAGGUGUGGGGGGUCUGACCCCCUCCGUGCCGGAGCAAACGCAAUAAGUAAUCCACCUGGGGAGUACGGCCGCAAGGUUGAAACUCUAAGGAAUUGACGGGGGCCCGCACAAGCAGUGGAGUAUGUGGUUUAAUUCGAAGCAACGCGAAGAACCUUACCAGGUCUUGACAUCGGAUGCAUAACCUAGAGAUAGGCGAAGUCCUUCGGGACAUCCAGACAGGUGGUGCAUGGUUGUCGUCAGCUCGUGUCGUGAGAUGUUGGGUUAAGUCCCGCAACGAGCGCAACCCUUGUAUUCAGUUGCUACGCAAGAGCACUCUGGAUAGACUGCCGUUGACAAAACGGAGGAAGGUGGGGAUGACGUCAAAUCAUCAUGCCCCUUACGACCUGGGCCACACACGUACUACAAUGGCGCACAACAGAGGGAAGCAAGACAGCGAUGUGGAGCAAACCCCUAAAAUGCGUCCCAGUUCAGAUUGCAGGCUGCAACCCGCCUGCAUGAAGUCGGAAUUGCUAGUAAUCGCGGAUCAGCAUGCCGCGGUGAAUACGUUCCCGGGCCUUGCACACACCGCCCGUCA
RNAcentral lists this ribosomal RNA (1316 nucleotides) under uncultured bacterium. RNAcentral's name for it is "bacterial SSU rRNA". It matches the Rfam family "Bacterial small subunit ribosomal RNA", at positions 59 to 1399 of the family's 1533-position model. The record is from RNAcentral.